Molecule: non-coding RNA, 1606 nt
Organism: Pantherophis guttatus
Lineage: Eukaryota; Metazoa; Chordata; Lepidosauria; Squamata; Colubridae
Source: RefSeq, a predicted model, not a curated record
CUCCCUUGUCUUCACCCACCGGAGGAGAGUUGGGCGCAGAGAGAGAAGCUGAGAAAACCACCAGAGGACAAGAUAUUCUUACAAUGGAUGGAAACUAAUCAAGGAGAGAAGCAGCCUGGAACUUUCUUACAGUGAGGACAAUUUAUCAGUGAAACAGUUUGCCUUUAGACAUUGUGAGUGCUUCAUCACCGGACAUUUUUAAGAAGAGACUGGACAGUCACUUGUCUGAAAUGAUAUAGAAUCUCCUGCUUGAUCAGGGGACUGGACUAGAAGAGCUCCAAGUUCCCUUCCAGCUCUAUUCUGAUUUUGAUUUGGAAUCCUCAAUCCAUCCUGGUGCUUUUUUGCUAAGUAGGAGGUUUUAAAAGAAAGAUGAGUAUCAAUGGAGAUUAAGUUUAUCGUUUGCCCUCAAAGUGAUGAGUGGAGGCCAAUAUUUAAGUGGUACAUUUCAAGUAACUCCCUCUGAUGAGUAUUGCCACUAGAGCAGAGUUGCAGGCAGAAAUGCAAUUAGUCCUGAAUCCCUUUCUAUUGUUUCAGCUUUUCUUCCUUUGCUUACUAUUGUCACAGUCUGCUUUUCCACCCUGCUUCACAUUAUGUAACACAAGUAACAACUGAGAAAGAAAACCAUAAGGAAAAGGGGGUUAUAGUGAUGCUGAAUUAGAAAAUGCAACUCAUAGGUUCUUUCUCCUUAUUUUGUGGUGAUCUUUCCUUGCCUUCCCUCGUGUUGCCCAUCUCUGGACUCAGAAAAUCUUAUCAAUACCUUUUUUAAAGUGAAGUCUCCAGAACUGGACACAGUAUUCCAAAUGGAGUCUCACUAAAGCCCUAUGUAGAGGGAUAGGAGCUCCUUUUUGCUGAUGGUGGUACAUCUGGUGAUGCAUCCCAGAAUGUUGUAUCUUCAAAGCUGCCUGGCCACACUGUUUACUUUUUUGGAGUUAUCAUUCUUUCAGUGCCAGUGUAACUUUUUUCACAUAGUUGUUUAAAAAAAGUGCUGCUUGAACUCAUUUAUUAAAACAGUUCUAGCAUUGUGUAAAUAUCUUUGUGUCUAUUCCAACUUUCCUCCACAGAGGGAGCCUUAAAGCAAGUAGUGUCAACUCUCAAAACGACUCGAGCUGAAGCCAUAUUUUUCUUGCUUUGUUUCUUAGUUGCCAUACUUAGGGGUAGGGGUAGGGGGAAUUUGUGGAAUGUAGAAUAUUUUCCUCCAAUGUGCCGGAUAUAACAAUGAUAAGGCUCCUGAGAACCAAGGCCAAAUCAGUGUGGCCAAAAAUGGCAGGAGGGAGUGCUGAGAAGUUCAUCAUCUGCUUUCUUGGCUAACCUGUGAUACAAGGGGGCUGGACAGCAUAUAUUUUUUACUUAUACCUAAAAUGUGGGAAUUAUUCAAUUUUGCUUUCACCUUUGACCGUGCAGAUAUGAUGUACCCAAUAAUGAAAUUGGGGGUUUUAAAUUUCGUUCUCUGAGCCAAUUAUUUAAUUGUAUUUUAACUGUUUUUUAACAUUUGUAUUAUAUGUAUUUUAUUUGGCUGUUCACCGCCCUGAGUCCUUCGGGAGUAGGACGUUAUACAAAUUUAAUAAAGAAACAAACAAACAAAUAAAUAAACCGAAUUUUUGAGGAA